This 403-nucleotide ribosomal RNA is filed under the name Fusobacteriota bacterium. RNAcentral's name for it is "Fusobacteria bacterium partial 16S ribosomal RNA". It matches the Rfam family "Bacterial small subunit ribosomal RNA", at positions 355 to 776 of the family's 1533-position model. Lineage: Bacteria; Fusobacteriati; Fusobacteriota. The record is from RNAcentral.
UGGGGAAUCUUGCACAAUGGGGGAAACCCUGAUGCAGCGACGCCGCGUGAGCGAUGAAGGUUUUCGAAUCGUAAAGCUCUGUCCUAGGGGAAGAUAAUGACGGUACCAUGGGAGGAAGCCCCGGCUAACUACGUGCCAGCAGCCGCGGUAAUACGUAGGGGGCGAGCGUUGUCCGGAAUUACUGGGCGUAAAGGGUUCGCAGGCGGCAUGGCAAGUCCGAUGUAAAAGGCGAAGGCUCAACCUUCGUAAGCAUCGGAACCUGUCAAGCUUGAGUGAAGGAUAGGCAAGUGCAAUUCCUAGUGUAGCGGUUGAAUGCGUAGAUAUUAGGCGGAAUACCGGUGGCGAAGGCGACUUGCUGGACUUCAACUGACGCUGAGGAACGACAGCGUGGGUAGCAAACAGG